This 1079-nucleotide small RNA is filed under the name Drosophila mojavensis. RNAcentral describes it as "GI26621". The record is from RNAcentral. Lineage: Eukaryota; Metazoa; Arthropoda; Insecta; Diptera; Drosophilidae.
CCGAGGCGCAGUUAAGUUCAGACCGCGACAGUUUUCGGUUCGGGCCAUUCAGUCUAAUGUCAGAAACGCAGUUAGCUGCCUCGUCGUGCGCACGCUAAAAUAUAAAUAAAAACAAUCUAAAGGCACAGCUAAUACAACUAUCACUCCAACAACAACAACAAGAAUAGCUAAAACAGCAACAACCAUCGUCGACAGUUAAAACUUGAGGCAUUAUAAAUCAAAUGCAGCUGAAAAGUAAAACACCUAUAGCAAUAGCAACAACAGUAAAAACCAGUUUAAAGUGACGGGCAACAGCCGAAUCAACCCCCCCAAAGCAAAAGUAAUAAAAACUAUUUCAAAAGUUGCGUGACAAAAAAUACAAAAUUAUAAAUGAAAUAAAAACAAAAAUCGAUCUGCAUAAUAAGUGAAUUGUAAACCGAUUGACGGAAAUUGGAAACCCGAAUCAAAAGUGCGAAAAUCAACAGAAAAAAGGUUGUCAAAAACCGGAUCUCUAUAAGGAUCGAACCAAGCACCACCGUAGCGACAGACACCGAUAUAGAAAGUGAAAGAGACAGACACACGGAGAGAGAGCGGAGAGAGAGAUACUAUAAAAAUGCUGGGGGCUGAGCUGCAAUGAUAUCAGCGGCUCUCUAUGAGAAGCGGCUCAGUUAACGGUUAUCAGCAGAGGCGAGAGGCAGCAUCGGGGGGCGGGCACCCACUUGACAGAGCCGUCGACCCAUUACAUAAUGUUUUAUGGCGACGACGUGACGAUAAAAGCGAAAACCAACACAAAACUAACAACAACAAGUUGAGUCUCGUUUGUCACUGUUACUGCAUUUCUGUUUCUGUUUCUGUUUCUGGGAAGUGCAAAAUGUUGCCGCAACUUGAAAUUGUCGUGCGAUACUUUUAACCCAUAAUUCUGAGCGGCUUAGGAAUGAAACAGCAUGAAAGGCUUAACAAAGGAGAACAAGAAAAAUCUUUAUGCACUUGAGAGAAAAUAUUAUAAUGAUAGCGCGUACUUAAGGAACAACUUUAAUACUUAAAGAGAUCAAAGAUGAUGCGACAUGAAUAGCCGAGAUCAAAAGUAUUUGGGAAGGCCU